Molecule: non-coding RNA, 77 nt
Filed under: Geobacteraceae bacterium
Lineage: Bacteria; Pseudomonadati; Thermodesulfobacteriota; Desulfuromonadia; Geobacterales; Geobacteraceae
Description: c-di-GMP sequence
Rfam family: c-di-GMP-I riboswitch aptamer
About the family: GEMM was predicted in a large-scale screen for bacterial structured RNA regulatory elements.
Source: RNAcentral
UAACCGAACAGGCAAAAUUCGAGGAAUCGAAUGACGCAAAAGCCACCUGCUCAGAACGGCUAGAGGGUGUUGUCGAG